UGGGGAAUUUUGGACAAUGGGCGAAAGCCUGAUCCAGCAAUGCCGCGUGUGUGAAGAAGGCCUUCGGGUUGUAAAGCACUUUUGUCCGGAAAGAAAUCCUUGGCUCUAAUACAGUCGGGGGAUGACGGUACCGGAAGAAUAAGCACCGGCUAACUACGUGCCAGCAGCCGCGGUAAUACGUAGGGUGCAAGCGUUAAUCGGAAUUACUGGGCGUAAAGCGUGCGCAGGCGGUUUGCUAAGACCGAUGUGAAAUCCCCGGGCUCAACCUGGGAACUGCAUUGGUGACUGGCAGGCUAGAGUAUGGCAGAGGGGGGUAGAAUUCCACGUGUAGCAGUGAAAUGCGUAGAGAUGUGGAGGAAUACCGAUGGCGAAGGCAGCCCCCUGGGCCAAUACUGACGCUCAUGCACGAAAGCGUGGGGGAGCAAAACAGGAUUAGAUACCCCUGGUAGUCCACGCCCUAAAACGAUGUCAACUAGUUGUUGGGGAUUCAUUUCCUUAGUAACGUAGCUAACGCGUGAAGUUGACCGCCUGGGGAGUACGGUCGCAAGAUU
Molecule: ribosomal RNA, 551 nt
Filed under: uncultured bacterium
Lineage: Bacteria
Description: partial 16S ribosomal RNA
Rfam family: Bacterial small subunit ribosomal RNA
Source: RNAcentral